AUUGAACGCUGGCGGCAUGCCUUACACAUGCAAGUCGAACGGUAACAGGUCUUCGGAUGCUGACGAGUGGCGAACGGGUGAGUAAUACAUCGGAACGUGCCUAGUAGUGGGGGAUAACUACUCGAAAGAGUGGCUAAUACCGCAUGAGAUCUACGGAUGAAAGCAGGGGAUCGCAAGACCUUGUGCUACUAGAGCGGCCGAUGGCAGAUUAGGUAGUUGGUGGGAUAAAAGCUUACCAAGCCGACGAUCUGUAGCUGGUCUGAGAGGACGGUCAGCAACACUGGGACUGAGACACGGCCCAGACUCCUACGGGAGGCAGCAGUGGGGAAGUUUGGACAAUGGGCGCAAGCCUGAUCCAGCAAUGCCGCGUGCAGGAUGAAGGCCUUCGGGUUGUAAACUGCUUUUGUACGGAACGAAAAGCCCCGGGUUAAUACCCUGGGGUCAUGACGGUACCGUAAGAAUAAGCACCGGCUAACUACGUGCCAGCCGCCGCCGUAA
Molecule: ribosomal RNA, 498 nt
Filed under: uncultured bacterium
Lineage: Bacteria
Description: partial 16S ribosomal RNA
Rfam family: Bacterial small subunit ribosomal RNA
Source: RNAcentral